UAAAACCCGCAUUAAUUAAACUAGCUAUAAAUCUAUAAUAUUUAUUAUAGAGUAGCUUUUUCAGUCUCCCCGCAUUAAUUCAUGUGCAUGUAGGCAAGCUGAGGUGACCGUUUUAAAACUGAUGGUGCCUGCCCCCAUAUAGGAAAGAAAGUUGGAAAAUAUAAAACGAGAUGACUCUUAUUUUAGCUUCUCGUGAGAGCUCUCUCGAUCAGGAAAGGAUGAGUUGGUCGGAAGCAGAAAUUAACCAAGAAAGGAAAGAAGAGAAGAAUGGAGGGAACUAACGAAUCUAAGAAAGUAACUUUGGUCGUUGACGGGUUGGGGUUGCUUGCUCUGCGCCCACAAGGUUCUCCGGGAAGGCUACCGCCGGCCCUGCGGUGGAGAUGGGCUUGAGGCGAGGCAGUGAUGACCCCGUUGGCCAAGACGGUCGGGGACAUCCGAUGGAGGGUGUAGGACGAUGGGGGUAGCAUAUUGACAUUCUGAUGAAGACGGAUUAGCGCGGCGGUGGUAAGCGACGACUUGUCCAGCAGCAAAAGCCACCGGAGACGAAGUAGUUGGACA
This 558-nucleotide long non-coding RNA is filed under the name Setaria italica (foxtail millet). RNAcentral's name for it is "long non-coding RNA (SITA_LNC006932)". The record is from RNAcentral. Lineage: Eukaryota; Viridiplantae; Streptophyta; Magnoliopsida; Poales; Poaceae.